RNAcentral lists this ribosomal RNA (779 nucleotides) under uncultured Neocallimastigales. RNAcentral describes it as "partial large subunit ribosomal RNA". It matches the Rfam family "Eukaryotic large subunit ribosomal RNA", at positions 26 to 644 of the family's 3401-position model. Lineage: Eukaryota; Fungi; Neocallimastigomycota; Neocallimastigomycetes; Neocallimastigales. The record is from RNAcentral.
CGUCUAUAUACGUAUAGCAUAUCAAAUAAGCGGAGGAAAAGAAACUAACUAGGAUUCCCUCAGUAACGGCGAGUGAAGCGGGAAGAGCUCAAAUUUGAAAUCUUCAAGGUUCUACCUUGACGAAUUGUAGUUUAAAGAAGUGUUUUCUGUUGGAGUUUUGGUAAAAGUUCUUUGGAAUAGGACAUCAUAGAGGGUGAGAAUCCCGUAUUUGACAUGUUACUUUCCAGCUGUGUGAUACACUUUCAAAGAGUCGGAUUGUUUGGGAAUGCAGUCCAAAAUGGGUGGUAAAUUUCAUCUAAAGCUAAAUACUGGCGAGAGACCGAUAGCGAACAAGUACCGUGAGGGAAAGAUGAAAAGAACUUUGAAAAGAGAGUUAAACAGUACGUGAAAUUGUCAAAAGGGAAGCGUUUGACACCAGUGUUGUUUUUCCGAAAAUCAAUUACGAAUGGCUUGAUUUUGUGUUGUAUUGACCUUAUCAGCUUUCUUCACUUUUUUCGAGUCUUUCUUAAUGCACUUUUCGGUUAACAAGUCAACAUCAAUUUCUUUUGUUGUAAAAGAGUAUUCGGAAGGCUGGCUUUCUUUUCGGAGAAAGUGUUUAUAGCCCUAUACUUCUACAAUCGGAGAGAUUGAGGUCUGCAGCGUAGAUCCUUCGGGGUUAGAUACACUUUGUGCUAAGUUGUAGCUUUUCAUAGACAACUUGUUGACUAUGUUUAGUCAUGUCGCUUACUCGCUUAUGCUAUUUUACCUACGCUUAGGAUGUUGACUGAUAUGUAGUCGUA